CCCGAACCCGAGGCGCAAAGAGCUGUUUCGGAGGGCUUUAUUUACCCUAACGCGGUGGGCAGACUUUUAGCUGUGGAUGAGGCUCGCUUUUGGCACGUAUUUUCCAUCUCCAGGGCAUCGCCACCGAUCGUUCCUUAGAACAUAGCCCAGAUAGGGUGCCUUGAAAGCAGCUUCAUCCCAGCAGUAGUUUUGUACCACCACGCUAUUGGACAAGCCAGAACCUUACAUCUGUGUCAGUGUGCAGCCCCCUUGCUAACCUUUUAAUAAUCGCCUUUUAAAUACUUGCUGCGGCCUAGAUGCUGGUUAGCAACUAAGGACACCUUCUGAGUUUAGAUUUAUGAUUUCGAAGUACAGCUUUCGACAGGGAUCGAAUUGUAUCUCUAACAGACAAGAUAUAAUAUCCUGUGCUGAGGCUUUUAGCAAAUUUCUGGAAGGCUGUUAGAUAAUUCGCAAAUCAAGUUCCCCGCAGAUCAGAUGACACUGUGAUUGGAUGCUUGCCAUUUUUUAAAGUUC
Molecule: long non-coding RNA, 513 nt
Filed under: Naja naja (Indian cobra)
Lineage: Eukaryota; Metazoa; Chordata; Lepidosauria; Squamata; Elapidae
Description: lncRNA (ENSNNAG00000016366.1)
Source: RNAcentral